This is a non-coding RNA of Xyrichtys novacula (pearly razorfish), 9290 nucleotides long. The record is from the annotation of a GenBank genome assembly. Lineage: Eukaryota; Metazoa; Chordata; Actinopteri; Labriformes; Labridae.
AUUAAAUUUAAAAAAGCUAUUAUUUUCAAAAAAAGUGGUGUCAAUGUGAGUGCAGUCAAAGUGAAAUCUAAUAGUUUGAUCAGUUUAAGGUGUCUGGCUCAUAGGCUGUAUAUAAAAUGGACGCCGUCAGCCGCCUCACUGGGUAAGGCCCAUACACUGUAUAUACUAUGGACAACUUGGUUUCGCCUCCCGCCUGUAUACGGAUUUGAGGCCAAAAAGCUCUGGGUAUUUCCGCGAUUUUUCUUCAUUUCCUGAAACCAGCAUUGCGCAGUAGCGAUGUGCGCAUUCAGCGGGAGACUCACAGAGAGUCGCUGUGAUGACACUCGGCUCAAACAGCGUAUCCACCAGGUGAGCUAUGCAAUCCCUGAACGCCAAUAGACUGUAUCAGGUGUCAAUCAUAGAAAACAUGAACCUUCUAAUAGCUUUUCAAAAAUGGAGCUGUACAGAAAAAAGAGGACUUGAGCACAAAGCAGUCUUAAGGUCCUUACACAAUAAGUCAAAUUUUUUUUCGAACCCGUAUCCUGUCAAUACAAGCAUUCACAUCAGCGAUGUUUUCCCGUUGUGCAAUACUGCGGCAUUUAUUUUUUCGGAUCAUGGUCGAUUUUUCUAAAGUUUCGCAUACUGUGUAUCGAAACAGUAUGGGGGGGGGGGGUUUGUCUCUUUCUUUCUUGUUUUAUUUUGUUGUUAUGUUUAUGUUUGUGCUGUAUUAAGUAGAUGUAGAUUUUGUUUUGUAAUACAAAGUCACUUUACUUAUCUAUAAAUAUCAGGUACAUCUAAACAAGUUGCGAGGAGGUUUGGUGUGGGUACUUAAUAUUUAAAGGGAAGGGGUGGGAGUUCCUAAGUUAUUCUUUUUCUCACUCCUUUUCGAAGAUUUAUUUCUAUGUUUUAUGUUAACAUUUUUUAUGUUUGAAUAUUUUGCCUUACUUUUCUUGUAUUAUUUUUUAUAUAUAUUUUUGGUUUGCAUAUUCGAAAUAAACCUCAAUAAAACUUCAAUCAAUCAAUGUGGUGGUAGUAAGAUGAGAUAAGAUAGAUGUUUUUUUGAGAGCUUACAAGUAGCCUUACUCUUACAAAUUCAGCCACACGGUUUCUCCAGUUGGACAUAUUCACACAGUCACCACGUUUCCUCUUGUGGCGAGCAACAAGCUCAAAUGCUGUUUUAUUACUGCAACACUGUUUGAAAAUCACUUACUUAGGAAUUCUGACAAACUGUGAUUAGUUUAAAACAGGCUCAUAAAAAUCUUGAGGACCAUCAGGCCAAGGGCUUUUUUGUUCCAAGUUAAACACCAUAGAUACCCUUGAGCUUCUUGCUUAACAGCUAGCUUUUUAAAACAAUAACAUGAAAGCUUACUUGAAUUUGAAAUUGCAAAAGAAAGCUUUAAUUUGCCAUCAGUAAUCUAAGCUAACAAUAGCUGGGAAUUUGUUGUGUGCUCGGAUCAGCUGUACAUAUUGGCUAUGAAUCUAAAAGGUGAUGUUACAGUUGUGUUAACCAGUUUAUGAUUAUAUAAACAAGGAAAACAAAACUUUUUAGUAUUGUCUCUGGUAAUGUAAUAAUGAUCAUUAGCAAUUACGAAUCAUAACUAAUAUUAAAUCUCCCGCGGGAGUUUUUUUUUAACAAAAAUGAUGACAGACUAAAAUUUAUGUUUACUCUUUUUUAUAAUAUCCAAAAGCAAACAAGACCACAAGCGGCAUAAUUGCAGAUUUUUAUAUUUAUUGUAAUUUAAGUGCCUGAAUCUGUUGCCAAGGGGGUAGGUCUCAGCCUUGCAGCUAAAGAAACAGCCCAAUAGAUUUUGAUCACUUUACUUGAAAUAUGAACUUGUUGCCCAACAGAUUUCCAGAGUUGUGAAUCAAUCAAUGUAGUGGUGGUGAAAAGGAAAACAGUAUAUACAGAUCUUAGACAUUCCAAUGAUUUGAAAACCAAAAAAAAGUGCAACAACUAAACAUUAGUGCUUGAGUUCCCCUGGAAAAUACCCUGCAUGCCCAUUUGUGUUUGCAAGUUUUUCUUACUUUUCUUCAGCUGAGCUGAAUUUACACCACAUCGCGACUACAGGUCCCCCCCUCCCAGCAGCUGUAAAGGCCAUGGCUACUCGUUUGCUACCUGUGUGCACACAUAAGCCGGUUUCACACUCGAUGUGUUCUUCCAACAGGACACAUCUGCUGGGGAGGAUUUCCAUUAGCGGGGUGGCUAUAGAGGCUGAUUCGUCACUCUGUCGAGUGUGCCUGUGUGUGUCUGAGAGCAUUUUCAUAUAUGCAGUGAUGGCAGUCUCUUUAAUGUCACGCUCCUCAUUUUUCUCUGGCUGCUGACCGCUGACAGGGGCGACAAGGUGUGGAUGACAUGGGAGUGAUAUGUUCUGGCUGUGUGUGUGUGUGUGUGCGUGUAAGGGUGGGAUCCACGUGCAUAUGCACACGUGAUAUCAUUAGAGAAUUUCACAGAUGAGCAGGGGCCAUCUUUUUUUUUUUUUACUCUCAGCCAAAUCUUCAGCAUGAGGGAAAUGAAGGAGACAAUUACACACACACACAUUGAACACACUCCUUCAUCUGGGACACACUUUCCUCACUUUGAGAGAAACAAUUUCUCAAACUAACACAUGCUAUGUUGCCCUCAACUGUGCACACACACACAGGCACACACACACACACUCAACAAUGGUAGGCUCUCUUGCUCACAAACACACUUCCCUUUGUUUUCAGACAAAGGCUUGCUUCGGCAGCUUUGUCAUGAUUCUACAAAAGAUUUCUGUAGCCAAAGGAGAGGUCUUAACAGGGAUCUAGUCAGUGAUUGGGUAAAAAUCACUCACAUUGUUCUCCCUCCUUCACUCUCAUCUCUCCUCCUCUCCCUCAUCGUCUCUCUUUCUCUUUCUGCCUCACCUCCAGUGGAGGAGCAUUACUUGCGGGCAGGCAGUCAUUUAGCUCUCUCUUCCGGUGCACCUUUGUAGCAACUUGUGGAGGUAGUGCCGGUGUCUUGUGUGGGCUGAUGAUCAGAGAGCUGGAGCUUCAGAGGGGUAGUGAGGCUCAGAGAGGAUCAGGCAGCCGAGAGAGCAGCAGAGGUGACGUCUGUCAGGAGGGGUUUGAUCUCUGCAUACCGGAGAAAAUGCUGUUCGUUUCAUGGCAAAUUUCUGUCUGGUUGUGGUGAGAUUUGGUUUGACAAACGGCAGCUGUUGUCUUUUAAAUUAGUGAUAAACGAGUCAAGGCUGGGAUGAAAAAGGUGCAAUGAUUAAGAUGUUCAAAGAGAAGAAUGAAGAUUUAAAUUGAAUGUUUCUCAUCUGCAUCCAAAUCUCUCUGCUAUAUCAAACGUCUGAAAAACAGCUUGUUUAUUUACAAAGGACUGACCUCAGACUGUGACAGAAAACAGGUAAUAACUUCCUGUAAUCAAAGACGGAUGUGAGUCAUCUUAAAAUGUGUGUGCUUGUGUGUCCAUAUGCACUCCUAUGUGUCCAGGUUUGUGUGUGUGUGUGUGAUAGGCAGUGAAAAAAGCAAAGAGAUGCAAAGAUUACAGAGCUAGACUAAUACAGCGCUUCCUGUCUCUUUCCAUCCAAUUUGACAAUGAAUCAAUUUUAAAUUACUUUAGUCAACGGAUCAACAGAUCAUUUCCGCCAGACAACAAACUCUUAAUUAAACACCAAAGAGCUUAACUAGGUUAAAUCAGAUGUUCUCAUUGUUCAUGAUAUUCUGGGGGACUUUUUCAAAACAUUUAAACAAAAGUUUUAAUCCUGAUAAUCAAAAAAAAAAUCAAAAGAUAAGACAAAACUUUAAAAACAGCUGAAGUUAAAGACAAUCUCAUUACAACAGUUAAACAUGGGAUCACAGAGUCUGGUAAUAAACUAUGUGUGGAUAAUCUUUGCAGAGGUAGCACCACCAGCCUUCAGUCCCCUUAACAGUCCAGCGCACACAUGCCUGAGCAGGUUAUGUAUUGCUUUAGUCAGAAACCGCCUAAGUCCUACUUUAUCUCCAUUUUUAGACCUAAACGCUGCCAAACUGCAUCAAAAUCAUUCUUCAUCUGAGCUUUGUUUACCUAGUGGUGGUUGGGUAUUAAAACAUGAUGGUGAGUGGCUGCACGACAGCCUAAAAAACAACAUCUGACUGACAAUCUGGGCCUACGACAAUGAAUAUAUUGAUACUCUUGAAGACAAACAAGAGUGAGUUUUUUUUUUUUUCAAAAGAAAGUUUUAUAAUGUUGUUUAAUCAUGUAGUUGACUAAUGUAAACAUCCGUGCUCAAAACCUAGCAAAGGAAAUAGAUAAAAUGGCUUUCAAUUUUUGUGUUUGGUGUGUUCAGUUUGUUUUUCUCGCCUUACAAUACAAACAUUUCCAUCCAUUUUUUCUGUUUAUUAUGGUUAUUCCUGAAUGUUGAAUCUACUAAAAGACUAUUUAUGACUAUUUAUGAAUUAUGAAUUAUCUAACUCUUUCAGAUAUGUAAAUAAUAUAAGUAUAAACUCUAGUAGUGCUCUUCUAGUUUUUAACAGGUGUCAAUAUCUCUCCCUAAAGGCGAGUAUUUUUCCAAUUAUUUGCUAGAAUACGAGACUUAUUAAUAGACUAAAAGAUUUCCAGUCUACACUCCGAGGGCAUUAGAGAAGAUUUUCUCCUUCACUGAAAUCCUCUGCAGCCUGGGGACUAAACACUUUCAACAAGCAGGUCAUAUUCCCUGUCGCAUUCGCUCAGUUACUCUAAUACUUGAGGAAUUGUAGAGGACGAUCAUCAGAGGACACCAAAUAGAGGCUUACUGGAGUUUUUAGAGAUAAAAUAGUGCUCAUGUAUCAGUCUUAAGGAAAGAGCACAAUGUGGGGAAAAAAACAUCAUCCUACUAAAAUCUCAGAACCUGAAAAAUGGGCAUUAUGUUUUAAGGAUUACACACUAGGUUGGUUAAGAAGAUUAGUCCAUCUUUGUUCUUAUGAAUCCCUGGAUGAACUGUGAAGUGUGCAGAUGGCAGUUUACUCAAAAUAUUAUUUAUUUAGCUGUCAAUUUAGUUUUAAUGUUCUUCUGAGUUAUUUUUUUGUAAAACUAUUUCACAGCUUUUCAUUUCAUUUUUCCAGGUCAUGGUCUGUGUUAACACUCCCUCUGGUCCUGAAACCUGUCAUCAGGGAUGAAGGAUCCAACUCUAUGACAGGGGUCAUAACCUGAGAUCAAGGACUGGGCCCUUUGACUGGACUGAAACACGGGGCUCCUGAACUGCAGUAGUGGCCAUGAAUAACCCAACCAAGAUCAAACAGACCCUUCAAUUUGAUGGAAAAGCUUACGCACAGUCUUUGGCCCCUGAAGGCUAUUGAGUAAGCAAAGCCAGCUCUGAGUCCCCAUACACCAGAGAAUACCCAACAAUGGUCCAACACAUUGUCUUGUUAGCAGCUAUGCUCCUCUGUUUCUCCGCACCUAUGACAAUGAUCCAGUACGAUACAAUCUCUUCAUCCCUUUAGGACCCUAAAACCCCCAAUGAGUCAAUUAUUAUGCGGCCAAAUAUCGUUGAAACUCACAGAACCUUAUUAAAAAUUCUGCUUGUGAUUUUGAGAUUUCCAAAUCUGUCAAGCUGAAUUACUGCACAAAUGCAGACAGGCAACCCAACCAGAAUUUACCAUGUGCAGCUACAGCCAUCAAACCAAAGCUGUGACAUUUACUCGAUACAAAAGUGUGAGAAAGCUUUUAGGUAGUGGAAUGAAAUCCAAUUUCAUGGAUUACAUCACUGGCCGCUGUGGAAACCCUGUUAUCUCUCUGAAGAUAUGUUUUUAAAAAAUGAGUACGACCCAAAGCCUCAACACAAUAAAGCUAUUACCAAUGUUAGAAACAAAAUAGAACGCAAAUGCAUUUUUGACCAAUAUCAAACUGGAAACAAUAAAUCUGAGAGUAGCUGGGAGGUAGCAUGAGCUUCACCUAACCAAAAAUUGUGCAAACGCCAAAUAUUCAUUUUACUCAAGCAUUGUAACUUCUACUUUACAAUGUGUGAGACAAAUAUCAAGUAAUAUACGGGACACAUGAACCAAAGCAGCACCAGCAACAGCCAUCCUUGAGAGAUGGUUUAAUACUGGCUAACAAAGACUCUGCAAGGAUCAUCAUCAGGAGAAACGUACUGCAAAUGAAGAAACAAUACAACUGCAAAAACUGAUGCAAAAGUCCAAAACAAACCCAGCAGUGGAAACAUGCUGCAAAUAAUGUGCUGGAGUGACUCAAAACAACCACACUAGGACAUGGGGACAUAUGUCAUUGGACACACUCAGCUCUGACAGUGUUUUUUUAUUGGUAAUACUCUUUAAUAUCAGAUAAAUUCAACGUCUCGUCUUCUUUAUCCCAUCAAUAAUUCAGAUGUAUCUCUCAGUGCCUCUAGAGGCCUGGAGCACUUCUGCUGAGAAGUUUUGCUUAUUCUUUUGCAUUUAGCUUUUUUAUUUUUGCAGCUGCUUUCUGUCUGUUUUUGCUAUGUCUCAUUUGUGUGAGCUUGAAAGCUCAUGACUGAAGUAAAAAUGAAGUAAAAAAAAUCUCUCAGCAAUGGAUAAUAAAUGAGUGAAUGACCGCACAAUCUGUGUGUCAACACUCAGUUACUACGAAACUCAUGUCUCGACUUUAAGCAACAAACACACUGCUUUGACCAGAGCAUUUAAAUGUAUGUUGCAUUGCACUAACAGCAAUUUCAUUUGCAAUAACAGCCCAAGAAAAACUCCUCCGGGUGUCAAAUGUCCACAGUGUAAGAUUCCUUGAAAAUGAUCUGAAAUGCUUUGCACAAGGGUAAAUGUAAUGAACCACUAAUUAUCAUUAUUAUUUCAGCAACAAAUAUAAAGUACUUUUGCACCCACACAGUGCCUUGAGUAGAACUGUUUACUUCUGAGCUUUAGUGUUUGCAUGUGAGAUAACAGGACCAAUGGGCUUUAGAAAGCUUUUUAAUUUUGUUUCAACAUCUAAUUGCCCAUCUGUGUCUCAAGAGCUGAAAUUAUAUAAAGACGUGUGGAAUUCAAUUAGCCGUUCACGUUUCAGGGACCUCUCUUUGUUCAUGCUGGAUCACAAAAAUGGUUCACUGACUCACCAAAGAACAAUUUGCGCCAUUGCUACGAUUGGUCACACUGUGGCAUUUACAGCCAUAACUUAUCAAAAUAUUGGUAUCUUUCUGCUGUGAUAAAGGGGUACAGUAGGUGCAGUAAGUCACAUUUUUACUUAACGUAGCCACUGCCGUCAAACUUGAAAUAUGUAUCGGUGUUUGUAUGCGCAGGCUUUCUGAUUGCCUCAGUUUUAACCUCUGUAAUUUCCACAUGAGCAGGAAAUGUAAUGGUAACACUAAAUCACGAUGCUUAUGCGCACUAUUUGCACUUAAAGUUUCCAUACAUAUGUGCUGAGGGAUUCGAACCUUUUAUGGUACAAAUCUUGUCUUUUGUUAGCUCUCCUCGGCUCAGUCGCUCGGAGCAAAAAUUAUGUGAUUUUUUUUUCCCCAAUAAUGCCUCUUUUGAAGUGUUUAACACAUGCUUCACUAAUUUUCCUCAUUACUGAGCACAGUUUUGUAUUCCAAUACCAAACUCAAGGAUACUGUACACAUUGUUGCCAAUGUAGUCUCAUCAAUAAUUCAUCCAUUGGAUAAUUUAUUCAUUAAUGACCUUACCAUGGAAGUCUGGGAGAAGACAGUGGAUUAGUGCAUCUCAGAGGAGAUACAUCUGUUCUCCCCUGUUUUUCUCCCUCCCUGCUCGACUCUCAUCAUGUGAAUGCAGUACAGAUAAAGAGCAACAACAUUAAAAAGCAUCCACACAUUAACUUACAUCUUUUAAGAUCUUUGUUUCUCUUAAUAACUGAGAUCAGAAAUCAGAUUUCAUAAUGACUUGUUUUGGAUUGUUAGUUGAGGGUUGCGUAAGAUCAGCAAGUUCAACUAUCAUUGUCUUUUCAUCUGUGAUGAAAGGGAUAACAUAACAAAAGCAAGGCCAGUUAUUUUUUUCUUUUUCUCAUCUCAUGUGGUUUGAUCAACUAUAUUAGGGCCAGCUGAUGUUGCAACAGAGAUUAAAAAAAUUUAGUCCAGGUAUGAAAUUCAAUUAGGAAAUGGGAGAAAAGAACAGACUUUAUAUCAGCAGUCACUCCAAUACUAAAAAAUACAGACUUUCCUCCAAGUAUGAGUGAUGAUGGGUUUUCUCUUUGGGGAGAUGCAGGUAUAAAAACUCUGAAAGAUCUCUUUGAAGGGGAUAAUAUGAUGUCAUUUGAGUAACUAAGACAAAAAUAUGAUCUACCUCAAACACAUUUCUUUAGAUUUCUGCAAGUAAGAAGCUUUAUACAUGACCAAACUAAAUAUAAAUUUAGCAUAGAAAUGUCACCAGUUGAAGAAUUACUCUCAAAAUAAGAAGUAAUAAAUCAAUAUUAGGACUAUGCUAUGAAGCCCUCUACAAAUCCAGUAAAGCUAAAAAGCCACCCUGCAGGUGUGGCCCCAAGAUCUUGAGGUGGAUAUUGACGAGGAUAUAGGGACAAGUAUAUGGGAGCAUACCGGUUAAAUAUCUGUGUGUAACAGAGCUAAAGAGUUGCAAUUCAGGCUACUACACCACCUUCAGAUCUCUUCUUAACUUAGACAUAUGAUGGACCCUGAAAAGUCGGCUGUAUAUAUCAAAUGUUGAAAGGAGGUUGGCAGUUUUAUACAUUCAAUAUGGUCAAGCAUUCAUAUUCAAGACUUUUGGAUCAAAAUUAUCACAAAGCUUAAUUUGGUUUUCAGUAUGAACAUAAAGAUGGAUCCAGAAUGCCUCCUCUUAGGAACGCCUCAUCCUCAAAUGAAUGACACUCACAAUCAAAAACUGCUUAGCAUGUUAACAUAUUCUGCAUGAAAAAGAGUACUAUUGAAAUGGAUUUAACAUAAACCACCAACUGUUUCUGACUGGCAUGAGGUCAUAAUUGAUUUGCUUCCUAUGGAAUAUUAGACAUAUUGAUCCAGAGGGACAAUUGGACAGUUGUAUCGUGUAUGGACUCCAUUUCUUGAUUAUGUGGAGCCAAGGAUAUGCAGUUUAUUCUGGAGGACUCUUCACAAACCAAGACAAGAUGGCUAGUGGACUGGGGAGGCUCUGUUGUCUGUAUUGCUUCUAUCAUUGUAUGUGAUAUGUAUGUGUAAGGCUUCAAUACUCUGGUACUAUACUUGUUUAUGCAGGACUGUGCUGUGAUUAAGUUGAAAUUUGUUUUUAUUUGGGGAUAGGGUAUUAAUGAAAAAAAAAAGAAGUAUGCACUAUUUGUUAAAAUUGGGAUGCUUAAUGUUCAAUUUUUUUUUCUUUUAAAUUAGUCCACAAAAUGUGUUUGAAGAGUAGUAACUAAAGUCUGAGUAACAACUUUGCUGCAUUUAAAAAUAAAGUUAUUUAAUCACCAGAAA